GUGCUUGCUUCAGCAGCACAUAUACUAAAAUUGGAACAAUACAGAGAAGAUUACCAUGGCCCCUGUGCAAGGAUGACAUGCAAAUUCAUGAAGUGUUCCAUAUUUUU
Molecule: small nuclear RNA, 107 nt
Organism: Equus caballus (horse)
Lineage: Eukaryota; Metazoa; Chordata; Mammalia; Perissodactyla; Equidae
Source: Ensembl